GAUGAACGCUGGCGGCGUGCCUAAUACAUGCAAGUCGAGCGAACGGAUGAGAAGCUUGCUUCUCUGAUGUUAGCGGCGGACGGGUGAGUAACACGUGGAUAACCUACCUAUAAGACUGGGAUAACUUCGGGACACCGGCGCUAAUCCCGGAUAAUAUUUUGAACCGUAUGGUACAAAAGUGAAAGACGGUCUUGCUGUCACUUCUAGCUGGAUCCGCGCUGCAUUAGCUAGUUGGUAAGGUAACGGCUUACCAAGGCAACGAUGCAUAGCCGACCUGAGAGGGGGAUCGGCCACACUGGAACGGAGACACGGUCCAGACUCCUACGGGAGGCAGCAGUAGGGAAUCGUCCGCAGUGGGCGAAAGCCUGACGGAGCAACGCCGCGUGAGUGAUGAAGGUCUUCGGAUCGUAAAACUCUGUUAUUAGGGAAGAACAUAUGUGUAAGUAACUGUGCACAUCUUGACGGUACCUAAUCAGAAAGCCACGGCUAACUACGUG
This 497-nucleotide ribosomal RNA is filed under the name uncultured bacterium. RNAcentral's name for it is "partial 16S ribosomal RNA". It matches the Rfam family "Bacterial small subunit ribosomal RNA", at positions 28 to 507 of the family's 1533-position model. The record is from RNAcentral.